Molecule: long non-coding RNA, 1134 nt
Organism: Photinus pyralis (common eastern firefly)
Lineage: Eukaryota; Metazoa; Arthropoda; Insecta; Coleoptera; Lampyridae
Exons: 2
Source: RefSeq, a predicted model, not a curated record
GGUUGAGCAGAUGUCGACUGCGCCAGCCUCGCGCCGCCGUCGGGAGGGGUAAGCGUUUAUUGCAUUCUCCUGGCCGCUUCCUCGUCUCGAAACGCAAAUCGACAACGAGAGCGCAGUGCUCCAGUGACCAUUGCAUUCGUAACCCCCCCCAAUUAGUUGCGUAAUUGCAAAGUUUCGGGGCCCCCGUUUUUGUGCGUCUUAAAACGUGUCGCUUGGAUACAAUCGCUUUCGAGAGCAAACCAUAUGUAUUUUAAGGCGUAUGCUGUUAAUCGAAUGGUGUAAUUGAUUGGCCUUGAACGUUUCUGUCAGUAAUAAAGUGAAAUUCGCAUGCUAAUUGUUUACGAAAACUUCGUAGUGUCAAAUUUAAUGUGUAGGUAGAGGAUCCUCGAAUUGGAACACGAAUUAGUGCAAAUAUUCCACUUACCCGUCUGCAAAUUCCACCUUUCGCUUUAAACUGUAACACGACAUUUGCAUUGCAAUUGUUUAAUCACAGGGGUGAGUCUUUGUUCGAAUAAUUCAUGGAAUGCAACCUGCCUGAUAAUGAAAGGGACCAUUGGACCGCCUUUCUUAUUCCUGUGAUUCGACACAUUUCCAAUCGUAGCCCGACCAGUACUUCAGGAAUAUCGAAGCAUCGAGGGAAAACAGAAAAGUAGUCCGUAGUGUACUCUUACAGCGUGUGUUUAAAGCAUGUGUGUGUCGAAAUAACCUAAAUCGAUUCAUUUUUCUCGUAGGUAUCGUACGAAAUUGUUCGAAUAGUAUAGUAAUUUGAUGGUACAGUAUCUGUAAGACUGUCGCUGUACCUCACAUGCCGACCACUGGAGGUAUUCACCGGGCUUUACAUUUUUUUAAUACAGCACCCUAUAUUUAGUACCUAAAGUAGACAGUUAAUUAGCUUUUUAUGUAAGUAUAGGUAAAUUUUGAAAUGUUGUAUACAGGAUGUUUAUUACAAUAAGUAAUGAAAGGUGGAUGAGGUUCAAGAGAGAUCAUAACGUACAGGUAGGUAAGAAAUUCGUGUGUCAAUCAGCCAUAGAUCCGUUCAGUAUUGAAUUGUAUCGGUUUAAUAAUAAAAGACUUGCAAGCAACAUAUGAUUUUUGUCUUGAUUGUAGUUUAAUAAAUUAGCAUGUGAGUACCUA